This 30-nucleotide non-coding RNA is filed under the name Rattus norvegicus (Norway rat). The record is from RNAcentral. Lineage: Eukaryota; Metazoa; Chordata; Mammalia; Rodentia; Muridae.
UAAGUGUGUCCCCUUAGCCACUGAGCUUGA